GAUGAACGCUGGCGGCGUGCUUAACACAUGCAAGUCGAACGGGAUCCAAGGGGUGCUUGCACUUUUUGGUGAGAGUGGCGAACGGGUGAGUAACACGUGAGUAACCUGUCCUUUUCUUUGGGAUAAGCAUUCGAAAGGGUGUUUAAUACCUUAUGUUCUGUCUGCCUCGCAUGGGGUGGGUGGGAAAGGCUUUGGCCGGAUUUGGGUGGGCUCGCGGUCUAUCAGCUUGUUGGUGGGGUGAUGGCUUACCAAGGCUUUGACGGGUAGCCGGCCUGAGAGGGUGGUCGGUCACAUUGGGACUGAGAUACGGCCCAGACGCCUGCGGGAGGCAGCAGCGGGGGAUAUUGCACAAUGGGCGAAAGCCUGAUGCAGCGACGCCGCGUGGGGGAUGAAGGCCUUCGGGUUGUAAACUUCUUUUGCUCUGAACAAGGCAUGCCAGUGGGUGUGUUGAGUGUAGGGGUUGAUUAGCGCCGGCUAACUACGUG
RNAcentral lists this ribosomal RNA (485 nucleotides) under uncultured bacterium. RNAcentral's name for it is "partial 16S ribosomal RNA". It matches the Rfam family "Bacterial small subunit ribosomal RNA", at positions 28 to 507 of the family's 1533-position model. The record is from RNAcentral.